This 336-nucleotide unclassified non-coding RNA is filed under the name soil metagenome. RNAcentral describes it as "partial contains 5.8S ribosomal RNA, internal transcribed spacer 2, and large subunit ribosomal RNA". The stretch from base 1 to 120 matches the Rfam family "5.8S ribosomal RNA", at positions 35 to 154 of the family's 154-position model. The record is from RNAcentral.
GAUGAAGAACGUAGCGAAAUGCGAUAAGUAGUGUGAAUUGCAGACUUCAGUGAAUCAUCGAAUCUUUGAACGCACAUUGCGCCCCUUGGUAUUCCAUGGGGCAUGCCUGUUCGAGCGUCAUUUGUACCUUCAAGCUUUGCUUGGUGUUGGGUGUUUGUCUCGCCUUUGCGUGUAGACUCGCCUUAAAAUAAUUGGCAGCCGGCGUAUUGAUUUCGGAGCGCAGUACAUCUCGCGCUUUGCACUCAUAACGACAGCGUCCAAAAGUACAUUUUACACUCUUGACCUCGGAUCAGGUAGGGAUACCCGCUGAACUUAAGCAUAUCAAUAAGCGGAGGA